Molecule: ribosomal RNA, 806 nt
Filed under: uncultured bacterium
Lineage: Bacteria
Description: bacterial SSU rRNA
Rfam family: Bacterial small subunit ribosomal RNA
Source: RNAcentral
UAACACAUGCAAGUCGAGCGGAGACAGUGAGUAGCUUGCUAUGAGCUGUUUUAGCGGCGGACGGGUGAGUAACGCGUGAGCAACCUUUCCCAGACAGGGGAAUAACACACCGAAAGGUGUACUAAUACCGCAUAAGACCACGGGAUCACAUGACUCUGAGGUAAAAGAUUUAUCGGUUUGGGGUGGGCUCGCGUCCGAUUAGGUAGUUGGUGAGGUAACGGCCCACCAAGCCGACGAUCGGUAGCCGACCUGAGAGGGUGAUCGGCCACAUUGGGACUGAGACACGGCCCAAACUCCUACGGGAGGCAGCAGUGGGGAAUAUUGGGCAAUGGAGGAAACUCUGACCCAGCAACGCCGCGUGGAGGAAGAAGGUUUUCGGAUCGUAAACUCCUGUCCUUGGAGACGAGUAGAAGACGGUAUCCAAGGAGGAAGCCCCGGCUAACUACGUGCCAGCAGCCGCGGUAAUACGUAGGGGGCAAGCGUUGUCCGGAAUAAUUGGGCGUAAAGGGCGCGUAGGCGGCUCGGUAAGUCUGGAGUGAAAGUCCUGCUUUUAAGGUGGGAAUUGCUUUGGAUACUGUCGGGCUUGAGUGCAGGAGAGGUUAGUGGAAUUCCCAGUGUAGCGGUGAAAUGCGUAGAGAUUGGGAGGAACACCAGUGGCGAAGGCGACUAACUGGACUGUAACUGACGCUGAGGCGCGAAAGUGUGGGGAGCAAACAGGAUUAGAUACCCUGGUAGUCCACACUGUAAACGAUGAAUGCUAGGUGUAGGGGGUAUCGACCCCUUCUGUGCCGCAGUCAACACAAUAA